UCUCUGUUCGUAUAGUGGUUAGUAUGUGAGCUUGUCAUGUUCGACAUCGCUCGAGACCGGGGUUCAAUUCCCCGACAGAGAG
This 82-nucleotide transfer RNA is filed under the name Coniochaeta pulveracea. RNAcentral describes it as "tRNA-Asp". It matches the Rfam family "tRNA". From Rfam's summary of the family: Transfer RNA (tRNA) molecules are approximately 80 nucleotides in length. Their secondary structure includes four short double-helical elements and three loops (D, anti-codon, and T loops). The record is from RNAcentral. Lineage: Eukaryota; Fungi; Ascomycota; Sordariomycetes; Coniochaetales; Coniochaetaceae.